This 443-nucleotide ribosomal RNA is filed under the name uncultured bacterium. Its description in RNAcentral is "bacterial SSU rRNA". It matches the Rfam family "Bacterial small subunit ribosomal RNA", at positions 30 to 480 of the family's 1533-position model. The record is from RNAcentral.
AUUGAACGCUGGCGGCAUGCUUUACACAUGCAAGUCGAACGGCAGCACGGGGGCAACCCUGGUGGCGAGUGGCGAACGGGUGAGUAAUAUAUCGGAACGUACCCGGAAAUGGGGGAUAACGUAGCGAAAGUUACGCUAAUACCGCAUAUGCCCUAAGGGGGAAAGCGGGGGAUUCGCAAGAACCUCGCGUUUUCGGAGCGGCCGAUAUCGGAUUAGCUAGUAGGUGAGGUAAAGGCUCACCUAGGCGACGAUCCGUAGCUGGUCUGAGAGGACGACCAGCCACACUGGAACUGAGACACGGUCCAGACUCCUACGGGAGGCAGCAGUGGGGAAUUUUGGACAAUGGGCGCAAGCCUGAUCCAGCAACGCCGCGUGAGUGAAGAAGGCCUCGGUUGUAAGCUCUUUCUAGUUGUAAAGAAAAAGACCGUAGACUAAUAAUACAU